This 390-nucleotide ribosomal RNA is filed under the name Triticum aestivum (bread wheat). RNAcentral's name for it is "partial small subunit ribosomal RNA". Lineage: Eukaryota; Viridiplantae; Streptophyta; Magnoliopsida; Poales; Poaceae. The record is from RNAcentral.
AUGCUGUGCUGGCCGUUGUACGUGGAGCAGAAGAUGAACAAACUAUUCAUGGUGGGGGACAUGGGGAUCGCCAUGGAGAUGGUCGGGUGGCAGCAGGGGCUGGUCAAGGCCGGUGAGGUGGAGGGCAAGGUACGGCUUGUCAUGGAGUCCAAGGAGGGCAGAGAGCUCAGUGCACGGGUCGAGGCGCACAAGGAAGGCGCGACAACUGCUUGCAACGACGGCGGGUCGUCACGCAUGGCGUUUGCCCAGUUCUUGGCGGACGUAGCCAGCCUUCAGGAUCGGGCAUGCACCGGCAGGGAAGGCAUCUCCAUGGAACUCGUGAUGCAUGAUCUCUUUUACGGAAUUUUGCCAUGUGAUCUUGGCACUGGGGAAGUUUACAUUGAUGAAUGA